Paramuricea clavata is the source of this 639-nucleotide non-coding RNA. The record is from the annotation of a GenBank genome assembly. Lineage: Eukaryota; Metazoa; Cnidaria; Anthozoa; Malacalcyonacea; Plexauridae.
CCCGUGAUGGUCAUUGUUUACUAUACAAUACACUGUAUAAUACAUUGAUUUGUGUGAGUCUAUGGGGUUGAGGGUGACCUUUGGGAGCACUCCAUCCCCAAACAACCAAAUAUUUUUAUUUUUACAACCAGACUUGCAAAGUCAAUUCCAAUACUGUAUAUUACAACAUAUAUAUGUGCCUGUAAUAACAUAUUAACCAGUAACUACUCCAUAAUACUUUAUCUACAACACUACAUGAAUUGCAUUUCAUGUGAAUCUUGAUGCCGGAUUGCAUAUCAAAACAAUAUUUACAGAUUCUUAUUUAUUAUGUGAUACAAGUUAUGAUAUAGUGGUGCAAAAUCCUUGAAGGGUGGGAUGGGUGGUAAUUUCGAAGUACUUUGCCGCAGAGGUCAUACAAUUUUGCUUGCAAGUGACACAAUGAGGCUUACUGAUCCAAGCAGGAAACUAUUCAGACGAAGAGGUGAAACCUGAUUGGUCUAUUUUCCCGCACAUGCAUGGGAAGAGAUUUGACAAUGGUUUGUUGUUAAUUCAGCCUUGCGCUUUGCACGUGUAUGAUCACUUGAUUCACAGAUUGACCUUUGUACCAGACCUUUGUACUCCAGGAGACUUUGCACAACUUUACUCUUGUCCUAACGCUUG